UGGACGAAAAAACAACUGUCCAUACCAGUAACAGUCGUUGUACGACUGUCUUAGUCUGUGGAAGACUGAAGAUGACUGUCAAAGAAACUGAUACAGUUGAUUAAUGUCUGUCCCAACACUUUUAUGGGUUGUGAAAAUCAAAAAAUGUUAUCAACAGUCAUUUAAGGACUGUUGCAGUGGUUUACGGGGUUGUCACAGUCAAAUACUAUUUAUUACAGUCUUUCCAAAAGUUGUGGCAGUUGUAUAAUGUUUGUCCCAACCUUUUAAUAGUUGGGACAGUUGAAAUUUGUUUGUGUCAACUUUUCAGACGUUGAUGCAGUCAAAAAAUGUUUGUUACAACGUUUCUAGAGUUUGGACAGUUGUAAAAUGUUUGUUACAACUUUUUAAAGGCUGUUACAGUCAUUAAAUGUUUAUUACAAAUUUUAAAAGGUUGCUACAGUCGUUAAAUGUUUAAAACAAACAUUUCAUAGGUUGUUGCAGUCGACAAAUAUUUUAGCGUCACGGUAGCAACUCAGUGUAAAAAAAAAAUUACGUUUCAACCGGCUCUCAAGAUUUGAUAUAGUUGUGAAAUAGCCCAUAAUUUAUACUAUUAUCAUCUAUUGUGCGGUUGUUGACUUGUUUUGUUUUUUAUUUAUUUAUUUUGCGAUCGUUGUUUGUCUUUUGUCGUUUUCCGUUUAUUGCAAUAGCAUUGUCCGUUUAUUUUUGACAUGUGCGUUUGAUUUCCCUUUAGGUAUCUUUACUUUUUAUUUUAUCUAUUCAGAUUCGUUCAUAACUGGUUUUACAUACCAGAAGCCUUCGUUUAAAAAUAGAGUUUUAAUAUUAUUGCAGAAGAUGCUAAUGAAUUCAUUCAAAUUUAUAUUUGAAAAAUUUUUGAUAACUUCUGAUCGAGGAAUAGAAAAUGUACCGUCGGUGUACCUGAAGUAAAUUUAAAGAAUAUGACUCAGUUACCAAUAUUGUACAGCAUAAUAAAACAGUUUUAAUUUGAAUUACUCUCCAUGAGGGAUAUUUCCGAUGAUAAAAAAAAAAAUAAUUAAAACUGUCAAGUUUCAUUAAAAACGGAAAACAAUUCUUCACCGUGAACGAUUUACCCUCUUUAUUUUCUUGUCGGCAAACUGGACCUGCAGGUCGGCAAACUAUAUUUUACACAGGAAACUACAGAUGUUAGACCACAUGUACAAUAUAAGCCGAGCUGGAAAUUAUAAUCGAUUCAUAUUGGCUUGAGCAUGACUCCUACUUAGAAUAUGAAGCCUGCUACAUGUGCACUUUGAUGCAUAGGAAAUAUAGAUGUCACUGAGUCACUCUUAUAGCUGCAAAUUGUGAAACAGUGGAUUAAUUCAUUAUUUUGUGCUAGUUAUUUAUUGUUUUUGGAAAUAAUGAAUAGCACUUGCAGCAUUAUUCCAUGAUGAUGAUGACUUGUGAUGUUAGGAUUAAAUUGGACAAGAAAAAAAUUGUGCAUUGUACAUGUUGUACAAAUAGGAAACUUACAAAUUGUAUUAAAGGAGGACCACAGUACUGGAUGACUAAAUAACUUGGAUAAUCGUGAUAAUUAUUCAUUUGGUAUAUCAAUAAUGAAUUUGGAAUAACAAGAUUUCAUAGUUUCAGUGCAUAUUAUAGUGCAAUCAUACAUUGUAUCUGAAUUCCAUGAAUACCUUGGAUAAUUAUUCAUUUGAAAUAGCCAUUUGGAAUAAUGAAAAUUCAUAGUUUCAGUGAAUAUUUAUAAUAAUAGUGCAUCAUAUCUGAAUUCAUGAAUACUUUAGUGGAUAAUCAGUCAUUUUAAUAUAAUAACAAUUUGGAUAAUGUGAAUUUCUAGUUUCAGUGAAAUUUACAAAACAGUGUAUGUAUAUCGCAUCUGAAGUUUAUGUUGGCAUUGCAAUUGUUUACUACCACCAGGGUGUGUAAAAAGACCUUAACCACCCAUGAGGGACUCUCGUAGUCCAUCACAAAUGUUUAUUGUCAAAUGACUGCUGGCUGUACUUCAAGUCUGAAUAAAAAUCUAAAUUAGUGCCCAAGCAUAUUAAAAAAAUAAACCAUGUA
Long non-coding RNA from Mytilus californianus (California mussel), 2034 nucleotides. RefSeq lists it as uncharacterized. The transcript has 2 exons. NCBI's taxonomy places the organism in Eukaryota, Metazoa, Mollusca, Bivalvia, Mytilida, Mytilidae. The record is from RefSeq and is a predicted model, not a curated record.